UACGUAGGGGGGCUAGCGUUGUCCGGAAUCAUUGGGCGUAAAGAGCGCGUAGGCGGCCAGAUAAGUCCGGUGUGAAAGUCAAAGGCUCAACCUUUGAAUGCCGCUGGAAACUGUCUGGCUAGAGUCCGGGAGGGGCGAGUGGAAUUCCUGGUGUAGCGGUGAAAUGCGCAGAUAUCAGGAGGAACACCAAUGGCGAAGGCAGCUCGCUGGAACGGUACUGACGCUGAGGAGCGAAAGCGUGGGGAGCAAACAGG
RNAcentral lists this ribosomal RNA (254 nucleotides) under uncultured bacterium. RNAcentral describes it as "partial 16S ribosomal RNA". It matches the Rfam family "Bacterial small subunit ribosomal RNA", at positions 524 to 776 of the family's 1533-position model. The record is from RNAcentral.